GGGGCUGACAUGGUAUUGACGGGAUGGCUCUUGAGGUAUAAGCAUGCAGAGCUUUGUAUGAUUGGCUCUUAAACCUAAUUAUACAAAUUUUAUUUGGCGAAUCUAAUUACGCCAUGGCUGCCUAAUCAGAUUAGGUAAACCAUCGGUUCCCAAUGGCUUGGUUUUGGCUGCUAUUGAUUAGGAACUGUUCAACUACGCCAAGAUAUCCAAGGGCGAUGUUCACCAACCUGCGGAUUAUUGCGUGAACUAAGGCAAAUUGCAGGCCUGACACAAGCCUUUUUUUGCUCGAAAAACAAUUGUUUCUAAGCAUGUAGAAAAUGCCAUUCAACACCUUCUCCGGACCCGGGUUCGACUCCCGGCAGCUCCACUU
This 370-nucleotide transfer-messenger RNA is filed under the name Bacteroidia. Its description in RNAcentral is "MED-G17 sp002457675 Standard tmRNA". It matches the Rfam family "transfer-messenger RNA". Rfam says of the family: Bacterial tmRNA, also known as 10Sa RNA or SsrA, is named for its dual tRNA and mRNA-like properties. The record is from RNAcentral. RNAcentral also lists the same sequence under 2 other names. Lineage: Bacteria; Pseudomonadati; Bacteroidota.